CUCAUUAAUUGAUAAAAAUAAACAUGUAACACCCAUAUCAAGAGAUUAAUAAUUAGUGCAAGAGAAAGUAAAAAAAAUAAAAUUAAAAAUUAAUCAUGAAAAGGAGUCAAUUUGAAUUAAUAAAGAAUAGUAAAUAAAUAAGAAUGAAUGGUGAAAAAAAAAAUUAAGCACCUUUACUUACAAUUAAGCCCUUUACAUACUAAUGAAAAAGACAAAAAAGAAAAGAAAAGAAGAACUAAAAAUAAAUCAUGAAAAGGAGUCAAUUUGAAUUAAUAAAGAAUAGUAAAUAAAUAAGAAUGAAUGGUGAAAAAAAAAAUUAAGCACCUUUACUUACUAAUGAAAAAGACAAAAAAGAAAAGUAAAGAAGAAAAGGAGCAAGCAAAAUAUUAAGUGUUGGCAGUGAGGUUCGAACCCGCGUUGACUGUGUGGCAGACUAACUCCUUCGCCAAUUGAGCUGUUCCGCAUUUCAGUCAGUGGGUGGCAAAAGUA
Molecule: long non-coding RNA, 489 nt
Filed under: Solanum tuberosum (potato)
Lineage: Eukaryota; Viridiplantae; Streptophyta; Magnoliopsida; Solanales; Solanaceae
Description: long non-coding RNA (STUB_LNC003911)
Source: RNAcentral